Molecule: unclassified non-coding RNA, 437 nt
Filed under: Bombus terrestris (buff-tailed bumblebee)
Lineage: Eukaryota; Metazoa; Arthropoda; Insecta; Hymenoptera; Apidae
Description: misc RNA ENSBTSG00005020453.1
Source: RNAcentral
AAUCUUCCAAGGCGUUUAAAGCACAAAAGUCUGGGAUGAUCCAAUAGCGAGGUGAAUCUCGGUGGAAGUUCCACGAUGGGAUUUCCCUGGGACGGAAACCGCGAGAACGAAUGCCGGGCACGAUCCACGAGGCCGCAUCAUUCACCGACAGAUCGACUGUGGCUGCUCGUCCCCCGUCUCAGCCAUUGGGAAAAAUCACAAGCGUCUGCGUUCUCCGCGUCGGAAUAUUCCACCGGAAUCGAAAAUAUCUUAAGGAACUCGUCGACGACGGAUUCGUUAGAGUCGAUCGAAUGUCGAAUUCAACGGCUUUUCCUUUGGGUAUUACAUUGUUCGACAGACGCGAGGAAAGAAUGCUUAUGAACGUUUGAAUUUCCUCGCAAGUGAAUGAACUUUAUAUGAUCGUAGAAAAGUUGUAAGCGGAGCAAGUGGUAAAUGCU